GAAUAUUGGACAAUAGGUGAAAGCUUGAUCCAGCGACGUCACGUGAAUGAUGAAGGCCUUAGGGUUGUAAAAUUCUUUUAGUGGAGAAGAUAAUGACGGUAUCCACAGAAAAAGUCCCGGCUAACUUCGUGCCAGCAGCCGCGGUAAUACGAAGGGGGCAAGCGUUACUCGGAAUUAUUGGGCAUAAAGCGUGCGUAGGCGGUUUUAUAAGUUGAAAGUGAAAGCCUUUGGCUCAACCAAAGAAUUGCUUACAAAACUGUAAAACUAGAGUAUUAGAGAGGAUAGAAGAAUUCCUGAUGUAGGGGUGAAAUCCGUAGAUAUCAGGAGGAAUAUCGAAGGCGAAAGCAUCUGUCUGGCUAAAUACUGACGCUGUUGCACGAAAGCGUGGGGAGCAAACAGGAUUAGAUACCCUGGUAGUCCACGCAGUAAACGAUGAGUGCUAGAUGUUAGAACUAUGUUUUAGCGUCGAAGCUAACGCAUUAAGCACUCCGCCUGGGAAC
Molecule: ribosomal RNA, 500 nt
Filed under: uncultured bacterium
Lineage: Bacteria
Description: bacterial SSU rRNA
Rfam family: Bacterial small subunit ribosomal RNA
Source: RNAcentral